Molecule: ribosomal RNA, 640 nt
Filed under: uncultured bacterium
Lineage: Bacteria
Description: bacterial SSU rRNA
Rfam family: Bacterial small subunit ribosomal RNA (bases 1-536)
Source: RNAcentral
CCUACGGGAGGCAGCAGUGAGGAAUAUUGGACAAUGGGCGCAAGCCUGAUCCAGCCAUGCCGCGUGCAGGAUGACGGUCCUAUGGAUUGUAAACUGCUUUUGUACAGGAAGAAACAGUUCUACGUGUAGAACCUUGACGGUACUGUAAGAAUAAGGAUCGGCUAACUCCGUGCCAGCAGCCGCGGUAAUACGGAGGAUCCAAGCGUUAUCCGGAAUCAUUGGGUUUAAAGGGUCCGUAGGCGGUUUAGUAAGUCAGUGGUGAAAGCCCAUCGCUCAACGGUGGAACGGCCAUUGAUACUGCUAAACUUGAAUUAUUAGGAAGUAACUAGAAUAUGUAGUGUAGCGGUGAAAUGCUUAGAGAUUACAUGGAAUACCAAUUGCGAAGGCAGGUUACUACUAAUUGAUUGACGCUGAUGGACGAAAGCGUGGGUAGCGAACAGGAUUAGAUACCCUGGUAGUCCACGCCGUAAACGAUGGAUACUAGCUGUUGGAAAGANAUUAUAGUGUGUAGACGAAGUAGAGUAAGUAGUACCACCGUCGGGAGGUACGGUUACGUCGUAAGAAGUUAGAAACGUUAAAGUUAAGUUAAGUUAGUUACGGCGUUGAGAGUUGCCGACGGACGACGACGAGGGAGGAGGAG